Molecule: ribosomal RNA, 400 nt
Filed under: uncultured bacterium
Lineage: Bacteria
Description: bacterial SSU rRNA
Rfam family: Bacterial small subunit ribosomal RNA
Source: RNAcentral
UAAGGAAUAUUGGUCAAUGGACGCAAGUCUGAACCAGCCAUGCCGCGUGAAGGAUGAAGGUCCUCUGGAUUGUAAACUUCUUUUAUGUGGGAAGAAACCUGUGUAUUCUUACGCAGUUGACGGUACCAUAGGAAUAAGCACCGGCUAACUCCGUGCCAGCAGCCGCGGUAAUACGGAGGGUGCAAGCGUUAUCCGGAUUCACUGGGUUUAAAGGGUGCGUAGGCGGGCAGGUAAGUCAGUGGUGAAAUCUCUGGGCUUAACCCAGAAACUGCCGUUGAUACUAUUUGUCUUGAAUACUCGGGAGGUGAGCGGAAUAUGUCAUGUAGCGGUGAAAUGCUUAGAUAUGACAUAGAACACCAAUUGCGAAGGCAGCUCACUACAGAGUCAUUGACGCUGAGGC